This 463-nucleotide ribosomal RNA is filed under the name uncultured bacterium. RNAcentral describes it as "partial 16S ribosomal RNA". It matches the Rfam family "Bacterial small subunit ribosomal RNA", at positions 28 to 507 of the family's 1533-position model. The record is from RNAcentral.
GACGAACGCUGGCGGCGUGCUUAACACAUGCAAGUCGAACGGUAAGGCCCUUCGGGGUACACGAGUGGCGAACGGGUGAGUAACGCGUGAGUAACCUGCCCUUCACUCUGGGAUAACAGUUGGAAACGGCUGCUAAUACCGGAUAUUCAGCUCCUGUCGCAUGGUGGGGGUUGGAAAGUUUUGGUGGUGGAGGAUGGGCUCGCGUCCUAUCAGCUUGUUGGUGGGGUGAUGGCCUACCAAGGCGUCGACGGGUAGCCGGCCUGAGAGGGCGACCGGCCACAUUGGGACUGAGAUACGGCCCAAACUCCUACGGGAGGCAGCAGUGGGGAAUAUUGCACAAUGGGCGGAAGCCUGAUGCAGCAACGCCGCGUGCGGGAUGACGGCCUUCGGGUUGUAAACCGCUUUCAGCAGGGACGAAGCGCAAGUGACGGUACCUGCAGAAGAAGCACCGGCUAACUACAUG